AUACGAAAGGUGCAAGCGUUGUUCGGAUUUACUGGGCGUAAAGAGAGUGUAGGUGGUUUAUUAAGUCGGAUGUGAAAUCCCGGGGCUCAACCUCGGAACUGCAUUCGAUACUGAUAGGCUAGAGUUUGGGAGGGGUAAGCGGAAUUCCGUGUGUAGCAGUGAAAUGCGUAGAUAUACGGAGGAACACCUGAGGCGAAGGCGGCUUACUGGACCAAUACCGACACUGAGACUCGAAAGCGUGGGUAGCAAACAGGAUUAGAAACCCUAGUAGUCC
RNAcentral lists this ribosomal RNA (274 nucleotides) under uncultured bacterium. RNAcentral describes it as "partial 16S ribosomal RNA". It matches the Rfam family "Bacterial small subunit ribosomal RNA", at positions 523 to 796 of the family's 1533-position model. The record is from RNAcentral.